AUUGAACGCUGGCGGCAUGCCUUACACAUGCAAGUCGAACGGCAGCACGGGAGCAAUCCUGGUGGCGAGUGGCGAACGGGUGAGUAAAGUAUCGGAACGUGCCCAGUCGUGGGGGAUAACGUAGCGAAAGUUACGCUAAUACCGCAUACGAUCUAUGGAUGAAAGCGGGGGAUCGCAAGACCUCGCGCGAUUGGAGCGGCCGAUAUCAGAUUAGGUAGUUGGUGGGGUAAAGGCUCACCAAGCCGACGAUCUGUAGCUGGUCUGAGAGGACGACCAGCCACACUGUGACUGGGACACGGGCCAGACUCCUACGGGCGGCAGCAGUGGGGAAUUUUGGACAAUGGGCGCAAGCCUGAUCCAGCCAUGCCGCGUGCAGGACGAAGGCCUUCGGGUUGUAAACUGCUUUUGUACGGAACGAAAAGGUUUGGCUUAAUACGUUGAACUCAUGACGGUACCGUAAGAAUAAGCACCGGCUAACUACGUGCCAGCCGCCGCGGUAA
This 500-nucleotide ribosomal RNA is filed under the name uncultured bacterium. Its description in RNAcentral is "partial 16S ribosomal RNA". It matches the Rfam family "Bacterial small subunit ribosomal RNA", at positions 30 to 523 of the family's 1533-position model. The record is from RNAcentral.